MicroRNA precursor from Choloepus hoffmanni (Hoffmann's two-fingered sloth), 114 nucleotides. The record is from Ensembl. NCBI's taxonomy places the organism in Eukaryota, Metazoa, Chordata, Mammalia, Pilosa, Megalonychidae.
CCUCCGAAGUUUCCCUCAGGAUAGCUGGCGCUCUCGCAGGCGUUUGUAACCCCCCACGCAGUUUUAUCCGGUAAAGCGAAUGAUUAGAGGUCUUGGGGCCGAAACGAUCUCAAC